This 70-nucleotide transfer RNA is filed under the name Balanoglossus clavigerus. RNAcentral's name for it is "transfer RNA-Phe". It matches the Rfam family "tRNA". Rfam says of the family: Transfer RNA (tRNA) molecules are approximately 80 nucleotides in length. Their secondary structure includes four short double-helical elements and three loops (D, anti-codon, and T loops). The record is from RNAcentral. Lineage: Eukaryota; Metazoa; Hemichordata; Enteropneusta; Ptychoderidae.
GUUGAGGUAGCUUAAAGCAGAGCACGGCACUGAAAAUGCCUAGGUAGGUGUUAAACUCCCCUCCUUGACA